GGUCCUGUAGCGUAGUGGUAGCGCGUGGCUCUCCUAAGGCUAAGGUCGAGGGUUCGAAUCCCUCCAGGAUCG
This is a transfer RNA of Catenaria anguillulae PL171, 72 nucleotides long. It matches the Rfam family "tRNA". From Rfam's summary of the family: Transfer RNA (tRNA) molecules are approximately 80 nucleotides in length. Their secondary structure includes four short double-helical elements and three loops (D, anti-codon, and T loops). The record is from Rfam. NCBI's taxonomy places the organism in Eukaryota, Fungi, Blastocladiomycota, Blastocladiomycetes, Blastocladiales, Catenariaceae.